Molecule: transfer RNA, 61 nt
Filed under: Baicaloclepsis echinulata
Lineage: Eukaryota; Metazoa; Annelida; Clitellata; Rhynchobdellida; Glossiphoniidae
Description: tRNA-Cys
Source: RNAcentral
AGGUAUAGUUGAAUAACAACAUUAAAUUGCAAACUUAAAAGUAUAUAUAAUAUUACCUUUU